UACGUAGGGUGCAAGCGUUAAUCGGAAUUACUGGGCGUAAAGCGUGCGCAGGCGGUGAUGUAAGACAGAUGUGAAAUCCCCGGGCUCAACCUGGGAACUGCAUUUGUGACUGCAUCGCUGGAGUACGGCAGAGGGGGAUGGAAUUCCGCGUGUAGCAGUGAAAUGCGUAGAUAUGCGGAGGAACACCGAUGGUGAAGGCAAUCCCCUGGGCCUGUACUGACGCUCAUGCACGAAAGCGUGGGGAGCAAACAGG
Molecule: ribosomal RNA, 253 nt
Filed under: uncultured bacterium
Lineage: Bacteria
Description: partial 16S ribosomal RNA
Rfam family: Bacterial small subunit ribosomal RNA
Source: RNAcentral